CAACGUGUAAAAGUUAUUAAAAAUGCAUCUCAUAAAAAUAUGUACUUCUACACAAAUAAGCUUGAUACCAUUACCCUAUUUGAAAUACUUACAUCGUAUCCACAUUGAGGUUCUCCCGUUUGUCAACAUAAGUUUUUUUAUUAGUCCGUUCACCCUUGGGAUUCAAUCAAGAGUCUAACUGGGAAGACCCAGGCCUUUUUUGAAUAUUUGUGCUACCACUGAUUUAAUCUAGGCAUCUGAAAUAACUGUAGGCUAGAAGUUGGGCCUAAAAAUUUUAAUUUUCAGGUUAAAACUUCUGUGUCAGAACAAAAGUUGAUAUUAUACAAUGUAUGGCCUUUCCAGGAUUAGUGUCAAUUUUGGACACAUGCUUACCUGAUCUGAUAGGUGAUGCCUAUAUUAAGUCACUGAAGAUUUGUGAAGUCUAAUCAUAAACAGCAUUCAACCUUGAAACUCUUCAGUUGGCUUGUAAGAUAUUACACUUGCCCGAUUUUCCUCUAUUGGCUGCUGCUGCUCAGUCUUCUUUUGCCCACUCUUAAUUUCCCUAAACGUUAAUAAAUUCAUAGGCAUGCCCCAGAGCUUGACUGUGGAUUUAUUACCUCAACAUGGUUCAGUGCAUGAUAUACAUUUAGAUUGCAUGAAUUCAGUAAGUGCAUAGCAAAAUUAAAGUAGGGUUACUUUUUCAUCUCAGGAAAUCUCUGCUUUCAGACAGAUGUGAAUUUGCUAGUCCUAAGACUAGUAAUUUUAUGUCUUAUAAGACAUGAUAUGAGUGUUUUAAAGUUUUCUAAAUUUCAUCUGGUGCUCAUCUGUCAUCUGAAAGCUGCAGGAAACCAUACUGUACAUAUUAAUGGUGUCCUCAUUAAU
This 861-nucleotide long non-coding RNA is filed under the name Marmota monax (woodchuck). Lineage: Eukaryota; Metazoa; Chordata; Mammalia; Rodentia; Sciuridae. The record is from RNAcentral.